This 79-nucleotide small RNA is filed under the name Kaistella antarctica. RNAcentral describes it as "Chryseobacterium antarcticum Flavo-1 RNA". It matches the Rfam family "Flavo-1 RNA". The record is from RNAcentral. Lineage: Bacteria; Pseudomonadati; Bacteroidota; Flavobacteriia; Flavobacteriales; Weeksellaceae.
UUCUAGCCCGGAUGGAAACGACAUCCUUUUUAUUUUUUCAGAAAAAAAUAAAAAGAUACAGUGGACAGCCGGACGGGUA